RNAcentral lists this ribosomal RNA (301 nucleotides) under uncultured bacterium. RNAcentral's name for it is "partial 16S ribosomal RNA". It matches the Rfam family "Bacterial small subunit ribosomal RNA", at positions 509 to 807 of the family's 1533-position model. The record is from RNAcentral.
CAGUCGCCGCGGUAAUACGAAGGGUGCAAGCGUUACUCGGAAUUACUGGGCGUAAAGCGUGCGUAGGCGGUGGUUUAAGUCUGUUGUGAAAGCCCUGGGCUCAACCUGGGAAUUGCAGUGGAUACUGGGUCACUAGAGUGUGGUAGAGGAUAGUGGAAUUUCCGGUGUAGCAGUGAAAUGCGUAGAGAUCGGAAGGAACAUCUGUGGCGAAGGCGACUAUCUGGGCCAACACUGACACUGAGGCACGAAAGCGUGGGGAGCAAACAGGAUUAGAUACCCCCGUAGUCCCUGUCUCUUAUAC